CCUCCUAGAUCCAUGGGUGCUAUGAGUCAGGGCCUGGCUGCGUGGUCCAACAAUACUUGGCCCUGUGAGUGUCUGAGUGAGCUUAUGUGUGUGUGUGUGUGUGUGUGUGUGUCCAUCUUUGGAUUCACACACAAGGAGUCCUUUGGAUGGUGGGUUUGGGGCAUCAAGGACACCGGCAGAGAGGGGGCUCUGUAGUCCCUUCUGGGGGGUGACAGGAGCAAUAAUAGCCUGGCCUGUUGUGCAGAACCACAGCUGUGUGCCUACACAGGGAACGUUUGCAAGGCGUUCUGUUUUAUUCUUCGCUGCAGGUCUCAGAAUGUCCACUGAGGAGGGAACGCUUUGAACUGGGCAUCAAGCUCUGGGCCCGAUUCCAAGUCAGCUCUAAAAACAGUCGGAGCUACCCCGGGUCCUCUACUUGCCCGGCGGAAAGGCUGAGAGAGUGGCUCCUCACGUCUGCGUGGUCCCCCAUGUCGUCUGCACGGCCCUGCUCUAAGCCAAGGCACCCACGAGGCAAGGCGCUUUUCUGAUGGCAGGACAUCCUCUCCCCACCCAGACCCCCAGCGAUUUCUCACCAGAGAGACAAAGCAUCUUUAUUUUAAAGGCUCCACGUAGCAUGUCCAGAAAUUUCUCCUGCUAUUAAGGAGGGGGAGGGUGGGGAAAGGGCCGAUGAAGCUACUUACUUAAUGGCUCCUAACAGCUGUGGAAAGUUUGAUGCAGCAGGAGCACCCAGACAGAAAAUUAAAAAACUAAUAAAGUCCUCAGUGUGGGGGCACUGGCAUCAGGACAGCUUUACUUCUCCAGACACCUAAUAAAGAGACAUUCCGGGACACUCACUCAUAAGGGGAGUCUGCAGGGGUCACAGAGAACAGUGGAAAGCGAGCCAUGGAAACAUAGCAGUCACUCACAUCGCCGCGGGGAAGGUGUAACAGUGGGAAGUAUGCUGGCUUGGAAUCAGACCAUGCUUUGAAUUUGAGCUGUGUCAUUCAUCAGCUGAAUGACUUCACAGAAGUCAACUUAACCCUUCUCAUACUCAGUUUUUUCAUCUGUGAAAAUGGCGUUUGUUCAGAUAAAGUUAGAAGAGACAAGUGAAGGCGUCAAGGACGUUGCCCACCUUUGGGCGGACCCUAUUGGUUACUCACCCAACAGCCACCCUUCUUCCCUGCUGACAUAGCCCUGAAUUGAUCUGUGUGAGCUGUCAGUGAGGAGCCCGGUGUGGGUCUCAAACCCACGAACCGUGAGAUCAUGACCUGAGCUGAAAUCAAGAGUGGGAUGCUUAACUGACUGAGCCACCCGGGCACCCCAGCACAGAAAGAUUCUUUGAUUUGUCUCUAAUUCAGUGCCAGAAGAUGUAUGAUGAUGGGUCAAAAGCAGUCAAGAUGUAUGAUGAUGGGUCAAAAGCAAUCAUGGUCAUCUCGGCUCCCUUCGCCACUCAUCAAUCUGAAGAUGGGCAAGUGCCCCACAGUGUCUAAAGAGAUGUGAGAAUGGAUUGGCUGAGAAAGACUCACAGGGAGAAGAGCUUCUGCCCCUUGCCCAUUCUUCCUGAAUGUGUACAUAUCGCUGAAGUUACAGUAGUCAUCUUGUGAGCAAGAGAAGACAAACAUGAGGAGGACCAACAUGACAGAUGUUAAGACAGAAAUACAGAAAGAACCUGCAUCUCCUAAGGCGUCACUGAGUGAGCCCUUUGAGUUGCCUACCUUGACUUGUUCUUACGUGAGAAAAAUCCACUCUUCUUUUUUGAAACCCCUGUAAUCCAUUUGUUGUUACUUGCAGCCAAACACACUCAUGAUUGAUACGACCUAUUGCAGUUCUGUGAUUUUGGUAACGUUGACCCCAUGUCAUAGAUGAAGACAGCAAGGCUCGGAAAAAAGAAGUUGACAUAUAGUGGUAGAGCUUAGAUUCCAACUCAAGUUCCCUGAUUGUAAGCCCUUGGCAUUCUCCAAUGACCUAUAGCCUAACCAUUCUUAUUAUUCCUUCCUACCAAAAUAUGUAUUAUUCUGUUUUCCCUUAUAUUAAGGAAGAAGGACUUGAGAAGUCCCAUCUGUUCUGAGCUUUACUUGUACCUCUGUUGUCAGCCAGCUGACUUUCAUUUCCUAAUUAAGUAGUUAAUUCUACCCACAUUUACCUGUAUAUAUAAAUAAAACCU
Lynx canadensis (Canada lynx) is the source of this 2143-nucleotide long non-coding RNA. RefSeq lists it as uncharacterized. The record is from RefSeq and is a predicted model, not a curated record. Lineage: Eukaryota; Metazoa; Chordata; Mammalia; Carnivora; Felidae. The transcript is spliced from 3 exons.